UGAGGAAUAUUGGUCAAUGGGCGAGAGCCUGAACCAGCCAAGUCGCGUGAGGGAUGACGGGUCCAUGGCCUGUAAACCUCUUUUGUGAAGGAAGAACCUCGGGGACGUGUCCCCGCCUGCCAGUACUUCACGAAUAAGCAUCGGCUAACUCCGUGCCAGCAGCCGCGGUAACACGGGGGAGUGCGAGCGUUAUCCGGAUUCAUUGGGUUUAAAGGGAGCGUAGGCGGCCCGACAAGUCAGCGGUAAAAGACUGCAGCUAAACUGUAGCACGCCGUUGAAACUGCCGGGCUAGAGUGCAGACGAGGUUGGCGGAACAGGUGAAGUAGCGGUGAAAUGCAUAGAUAUCACCUGGAACCCCGACAGCGAAGGCAGCUGACCAGGCUGUAACUGACGCUGAUGCUCGAGAGCGUGGGUAGCGAACAGGAUUAGAUACC
This 434-nucleotide ribosomal RNA is filed under the name uncultured bacterium. Its description in RNAcentral is "bacterial SSU rRNA". It matches the Rfam family "Bacterial small subunit ribosomal RNA", at positions 355 to 786 of the family's 1533-position model. The record is from RNAcentral.